GGCCGGAGCUGGCUGAGGGGCCUCACCUGCUCGAACUCGUCGGUGAUGGUCUUGGGCUCCUCGUGCCUCUGGAACCACAUCAUGUACUUGGUGUGGAACCGCCACGACUGCUUCUUCAGGGCCUUGGCCGCCAAGUACUGCGCCUUGGUGCCCUGCGGACCGACAAGAGCGGAGGGGAUCAGGGGUGGGGUGGGCACCGGGUCGGGCUGCGGACAGCCCACGUGGGGACAGCAUGGGGCACGGAACAUACCCCUGUUGGCCAGAAGAAAAAUGAGACAGGAGUGGAAAUUGCUUUCAGAGAAGCUUUGCAAAGGAAGAGAAACUAUGGCGCCAUAAGCAGACGAUGAGGAAACCAUGUCAGGCGGGGAAGGGGCAGAGGAUCUGGAGGCGGCACGGCUGGGGGCUGGGGGUGCUGGCUGCUGUGGACAGGCUUGGAGCCAUUUUUGGCUGGAGACUGCAAGGAGAAAACAUAAAUCAGAGCGGGGUGGGCAGGGGGUCCCAGGCCUGCGCAUGCCGAGGGCCACCCAGGGACCGGACACCGAUGCCAGGUGUCUCCACCCCGCCCUGACCAGGGCUUAGCUGGGGGACACAGACAGCAGUCAGUGCUCUGGCUGUCCCUAAGGGUCACUGAAGCCCCUCCAGCAAGUGGCUGCCGGCGUCCCCAGGGCGCGUGGCUGAGGGAACUCGGCUGCUGCACCCACAUGCCCCAGACUCUCCGCCGUGCCGGGUCUGUCUCAGCCUCUGCCCUCGGGGCAAACAGCUCUUCCUCACGCGCCCGCCCAUGCUGGGAGGCAGCAGCAGGGGGUACAGGGCUCACUGGGGGCCGAGGGACUGGAGAAGUGCUGCCCACCCACCCAGGACCGCACUGUGCCCGGUCCCGGCCCAUGGCUUGGCUUUCCUGGCCCCUUCGGAGCUGGUCCAGAGCCCGAGGCCAAGGGCCCACAGGUGCAGGGCGCCUCACCUCUGAGCCCAGCACCAACAAGCAAGCAACAGGCCUGCCAGCUGCUGCAGACCCACCUGGCUGACCUCACUGUCGGUGGAGCGGCCCCUCUUCUUAUCAUCUUCAGAGUUCUCCUGUGACGAGGAACAGAGUCAGAGAGCGGCCACGCCCCAGUUCUGCAGGCAAACCCUGUACCGGCCGCUGCUG
This 1147-nucleotide long non-coding RNA is filed under the name Heterocephalus glaber (naked mole-rat). RNAcentral's name for it is "lncRNA (ENSHGLG00000045206.1)". The record is from RNAcentral. Lineage: Eukaryota; Metazoa; Chordata; Mammalia; Rodentia; Bathyergidae.